UAACCAUUAUCCAACCACAGUAUUGGCUGUCUAAUUUUUCAACCAUUGGUUUAGCAUGCUAGUUUACCCAGAUGUUGGCAUGCUAACUAUCUAAACAGUUUUAGCAUGGCAAUUUUUCAACAAUGCGAUUAGUGUCCUAAUCUCUCAACCGUAGCAUCCGAUGCUUUUUGUAAAUAACAUUUAGCAUUUAGCCUGCAUAUUGAGACAUUUUUGCUGAACAUUUGUGACUUCAAAUAUCUGGCGUCCUAAUCGGAGACGCAACUGCUGAUAAAAAAAAAAAGUGUCUGGAGAUUUUCAAGAAAGACUGCUGCAUCUUGAGUCGAUCGUCACGUCAGUCAACACAUAGAACGUGAAACGUAAAGCGUAGUUAAUUGUAUUCAACUAGAAAACACACAUUUAAUCCCCAGUUUGUCUCAGGUGUGGCACAAGGUCCUGUUGCCGCGUUUUUGAUGAACACCUCAGAGACGAGUGAGAACCAGCGAAUGAAAAGAGCAGCAUUACGUAAUUGCAUCAUUCAGAGAUGCUGACAAUGCAACCAGACAUGUUUGUCAUUGCUAGGAGGGGGAGAGGGGAUGGAUUUGUUUGUGGACUAAUCCAGAAAGGCUUCAGACAAACAGCCGUGCAAAGUGUGGAGGAAGGCAUUUCAAAGCAGCCAUAACCGCAGAGAAUGCUCCGCUAAGCUCACACCUCCGCCAUGAAGGUUACACUCUGAGGAUAACUAGAUGCACAGCAGAGCUGCAUGUAAUUUCAUUUUACUUGACACCCCGCGUUAUAUAAAGUUCAGGCAGACAAAAGGAGGCGUCCCUGCGGAGGACCUUGACUCGGCUCUUCGGGCUGCAGUUUGAGGCGUUACGAAAGCAGCAUGUGUCACCAGAUGUAGUGAUGAAGAGUUGCCUUUUCGUCCCAAACCGACGGCGCCGAACUUGUUACAGCUGACACCACCUUUCCACGCGGCACGAACGACUUGAGGAGGAUCUAUGUCGGGAUGGAAAACCUGGGUCCAGAGGGAUUCUCAGACAUCUUCAGAGCACAUGUUCGCUGAAAGUGCAGAGGGAUAUUUGACUUGACAGAGCAUGCUGAGGCAAUUCUCCAACAACAAAGUUCUAUUGUGCUCAACUCUGAGCUCCAUUGUUUAAUUCCCUUCUAACUGACGCUCGUCUGUAGAAACUAAAAGUCCCUUUAGAUAAAAAACAGGCUAAAAGAUCUAGAAAAACUCUAGCAUUGCCAACCAGCUCAGCACUGCAGGGCCGCAAUUAGCGGUCCAAGUUAGUGAGUGACCUCCCCUGGGUCGAUGUUAGGCCCGUCUGCUGUCCCUAUUGUAGGAUGAUGCCAAUUUUUGAUUGAUCAAAUUCCUACAUUUCAAUCAAAUUAAACAGGAGAUUCAUUUCAGAGCCUUUCUGUGAAAGAAACUUUCAAACUUUGGGGAAAGAUUUUAGAAAUUCAGGAAAACUUGAAUUGCCUCUCCUAACAGCCUUGAAGGCGAAAGAUAAAUAUCCAUGAGGCACCCUGAAAGAAGCCUGUUUUAUUUCUGGAGAUUAAUUGCAAUCACAUGAACGUGUCGAAAAUGUGAUUCAUUUCUGGCACAGAGAGUUAUAUCUGAAGCUGUGUUUGAUCAAUUUAGUCAAUAAUUGAUUUUGUUUGCCAGAUUGAUUUUGCGUUCAGGGGAGGCAGGUGAGUAAUCCUGCUAAGUAAAAAUAAAGCUAUGAGAAGUAAAAUAGAUGCUAACAACAAUGAAAGAAAAUCACUUUGUCCACUUGGAUUUUCUAUAACUUGUUUUUCUUAUCGGUAAUGUCAACAUUUUAUGGUCAAAAUCUUAGAAUUUGCGCAUUGCCUGUUGAAAUACAUGCAAGAAGAGCCGAGGUGAGGCAGUGUAGUACCACGCCUCACUGAUAGGAGGCAGUGCUGAUCCCCUUAGAGACAAUGAGCAACAGGUGCUCUUCUUCUACGCAUCGAAAAGAUUGUCGAGGGAAAAUACGGACGGAGCAGAACCGCUCAAAUACACAACAAAAAGAAAACUUUUCUGUUUUGUUUUUAUGAAUUAAGUGAACAAACUGUCAAUCCUGUUCCUAAAUGCAAAAUGAUGCCUACAUUUAUUUUCAUGUACAUGUAAAUACGAGAUUAAAUAAUUAUGCAACAAUGUCAGUAGUUUUUAAAAUCUUACUUGUGACAUUAAUUUUCUAUUUUGUUGCCUAAAAUCUAGCAAUAAGGUUAUUUCGACCCAAUCUAACAUUGUUAACCUAAACGAUCACUUAUUUCUAAGCAAAGCUGCUAAAUUAAAAGAUUAUUUUUUUGUUAAAUGUAAAUAUUUGUUAUUUUUAUGAGCCCCAAGCAAAUUGUACAUGAAUAUAGACAAUGUUAUUUUGGCCGAACCUAGCCGUGUUUCAAUUUUUGCCACGUCAAAAUAUGCUAUUAAUCAUAAACAUGAUCACUAUUUUCCUAAACUUGGAGUUUUCCUUAUGCUAUUUAUGAUUUCUUCCAUAAAUCUUGAUAAAAUAUGUUGUCAAUAUCUGGCCAUGUCAACAUUGUGAUUAUUUCUAGACGCCUUUAUGGACGGAAGCUGCAGAUUUCUGUCCCAGUUGAUGCUGAUUUAGCCUGACCGUUUAAAGUGGAACGGAAGUCUGUCGUUUUCCUGUUUGCUCAUUUUUACUCAUCCCGGGCGACCUUAAACCCAAACAGAGACAUGUUGCAUUGUGGGAAAGUGAAACUUGCCGCCCGAACACGGCUCCAGCUCCACGUCUAUCUGUGGAAAUGAGAGAAGGAUGCUGCGUGUAAUCAGCUGUUUACAGCCGCCGCAGCAGCUCCGGCCUAAUGGCUCCAACAUGGCCGACACGGGCUCAGUUACGUCACCUAAAUGAAUGCCCUCUGUUCCAGAUCACCCAGCUGCAUGUUUCCAGUUUACCCAGUCUGGGUGUGAGAGGAUGAAGAAGAGGAGGAGGGAGAGGAGGUGGAGGUUGCGGGGGCAUCCAGAGGAAGACGCAUGUAAACCCAUUUCAAAACAAACGGGCCAGUGUUCAAUGCCUGAAUGAAUCAACGCAAGCGACCGCACAACAGGACAUGGUGGCCAUUUAACACUGGUGUUCAGCCAAUCUGCACCAAGGAAAAUAAACGGCACUCUGUGAUUGGCUGCUCCGCAAACCAGCCAAUAGGAAGUCAGCAAUCAUCGAGUCCAGGUAUUUCAGCCCCCCAGGCCACAUUUUCUUUGUUGUACAAAAAAAAUGUAUAUCUGAAAAAUAAUGCUAACUUUCCACGAAUAAUCUGAAGUGGAGUUCCACAGAAAAUCCACCAAUAGCGUCCGUUUGAAUCACGGCUACGCGCAGCUUUAAACACUGUCGUUCGUGUCAUGUAGCUCUAGCUAAAUUUGCAGCGGCGUUGAAUUUUAAUUUUGAAAAUGAGUGUGCCACUUCGUUUUUUUUCCUCACACUUAAACUCCAGCUUUUACUUUGAAAAGCCGCGGCUCAGAUUACACAGACAGGAACCAUAAAGACACGCAGAUGACAUUUCCUCCCGUCUCCCUCAUGAAUAUCAAAGCCAGGCCAGAAAAACAAGGCAGGGCAUUAGAGCCCUAUUAUUGUAUUUGCAUUCCCCAUAACACGCGGCGUAUUGGUUGCUGUAUUUAUUGCCUCAUCAGCGCGGCGUGGCUGCUAGCAGCGGCUGAUUUAUUAGCCCAACGUCACAUGGAGUGAGUUGGCGAACGGAGUGGAGGAAGGUUUUCCUGCUGGUGGACUUUCCUGACGAUUGGCUUCUCUCCUGGCCUGGAGCCAGAUCAGGACUUCUAUCUGCACAGCUCUACGUCCGGCUUGAGGUUUCCGUUUUUGUUUUGCAGAGUCUCUUGGAAGUGCAGCCGAGGUCCUCCGCUCAUCUCUUUUUUCCAAUCUUUGUGGGAUUUGGAGUGAUUUGCGCCGCGCUCCCCGAGGGAAAUAAAUACUUUGAUUAAUGUAAUCCUGGGGAGGCUGAUGUCCCUCCCCUCCCCCACCUGCACCUGAGGGACUGCUCAGCAAAACAAAAACAAGAAGAAGAAGAAGAAACGAGCAGAGAGCGACAACUGAACGAGUGCAGAUUGGAUUUGUUUGGUUUCUUAAUUAGCGCGCCUUUAGUGCGCAGCAUCAGUCUUGAUUAGCAUGUAGCGCUAUCCAACAGGACACUGUAAAAGUGUGGCUCACGCUCAUGUGACUCCUGGAAGUGGCAGCAUCAUGCUGGGUGGGACUGCUGGGGUUACAGGUGCAAAGUUCUUCCCGGUGCUCGAAUAAUUCCUUGAAAACAAGAAUUGGACGUGCAAGUUUAAAUGUACUACAUAGUUCCUAUUACGAGUGUUGAACCAGAUGGCAAAAAUAGUGGCAGCAUGAUCCUGUGGGAUAUGUGUAGCUUGAAGGAGAAGGGGGCGGGGGUUCUUGAAAAAUGACUCAUAAAAAUAGUAACUGAAAGCAAAACUUAAAUUCAUUGCACUUUUCAUGCAAGAAAGACCAAGUGGCAGCAUCAUGCUGUGGGACCGCUGCUAGUCAGACCAGCUCAUCUGGAAUAUGAAUGAUCAGCUCCAUCACCAGAACCUAAAGAACCUUAUUUACCAUAUUUCUUUCUUUUUUUUUUUUUUUUGUUGUUGUUUUUUUUUUUUUUUCAUUUUCCUCCUAACUAGUUUAGAACAAAUCCAAACUUUAUAUUUGUGUAUAUCCGUAUAUUUAUGCCACUCACUACUAGUUAUUUAUUCAAUUUAAAAAAAAAGGUCAUUUAUAAAUAUUAUUAAGUCAUAACUAGUGUCAUUUUAAGGCACAUUUUUGUCUCUUUGUCUAUUUAUUAAAAAAUGUUUUCUAUCAUUUAAAAAGCCUCAAUGUUAUGACUGGCGCACAUAUUUUGUAAUAUUUCAUGUUAAAAAUAAAGAUGUAUUUUUACAUAUUAUUAUUCACAAAUAUUAUUUUUAGCGACUUUGUUCAACACGGUUCCUUUUGUCAAAUAUUGGGCCCCUGCCUCUUGAAAGUCUUCUGUGCGGCCCUGCUGGGGCUCAAAACAUGAGCGCCACCUCCGCCGGCUUCAACUUUACUGUAAAGGUCAGAACUGAAAUCCACUUAGAAUUACACUAAUGAGCGCAAACAGGGGCGCAAAUGUCGAAAAUCUGCGCAAUAAUUCUGAUGAAAGAGAGUCCAGUUAAAAACUCCUAACAUCUCUUCACCUGCACAUCUCCAGCAUCUCCGCGCUUCAGCUUCACAGAGCGGUUACUGUGUGUGUGUGUGUGUGUGUGUGUGUGUGUGUGUGUGUGUGUGUGUGUGUGUGUGUGUGUGUGUGUGUGUGAGAGAGAGAGAGAGAGAGACUCCAUGAAGCAUAUUAAUAAUAAAAAAGCCUGUCUGAAUGAGGGGAAAAUCCCCAUUCAUGUCUGACACCGAAGGCCUGCUUGAAGCCCAUUUAAUUAACGGUAUAUAUUACCGUCUAAGUGCUGCGAAGUUCGGCUCUAAAUCAGCGUUUGGGCCUGACACGCUCAACGUAUGUCGGAUUACAGCGAGCCGGACCGAGCGUGAUGGGGGGGGGGGAGUUUGGGGGGCCUGCAAAUAAAUUAUGUAGCCCACAGGCAACUUUAAGUGUGCCAUAAUUAAAAAGCGGCGGGAAUUGCAUCAGUUUAAUGCGAAUAUGCGGCGGGCGAGCCACAGAAGUGUCUGAAAUUUACGGCCGAAAAUCAUCUUUUAUGGAGAAGAGAGAGACAAUAGAUUAAUGCGAGCUAAUUGAUUUCCCCCCUUAAUUCGCUGGAGCUGCUGUGCAACAAGCCUACAUUAAAAAAUAUAUAUAUAUAUAUUUUUUUUUUUUUAAAUCCUCAUUUUAUUAAUUAGUGGCGCCUUGUAGGAGAUGUAUCUCUCUCUCUCUCUCUUUUCCAGCAGGAGCAACCCGCAAACUCCCGCGAUACUUCGGGAGUUUACUACCGCUAUUAUCGGUUGCGAGCACCUCCCCUCCGCCCCCCAACAAAAAAAGUCGCGGCUCCGCCAUAUGUUUGCGCCAAACAUCCGUGAUGCACAUGGAGGCCGGACCUGAGGAGCCUGAGUGGCGGCUCUGGUGCGCAGGCGCAGGCGCAGGUGGUGGGUGGGUUGGGGGUCAAAGCCAUCUUAUGACAAAUUCUCUCCCUGUCUGAGGA
Xiphophorus couchianus (Monterrey platyfish) is the source of this 6109-nucleotide long non-coding RNA. RefSeq lists it as uncharacterized. The record is from RefSeq and is a predicted model, not a curated record. The transcript is spliced from 2 exons. Lineage: Eukaryota; Metazoa; Chordata; Actinopteri; Cyprinodontiformes; Poeciliidae.